Molecule: ribosomal RNA, 270 nt
Filed under: uncultured archaeon
Lineage: Archaea
Description: partial 16S ribosomal RNA
Rfam family: Archaeal small subunit ribosomal RNA
Source: RNAcentral
CUGCAGCCCGAGUGGUGAUCGACUUUAUUGAGCCUAAAGCGUCCGUAGCCGGACUAGUAAACCCUUGGGUAAAUUGGGCAGCUUAACUGUCCGAAUUCCGAGGGGACUGCUAGUCUUGGGACCGGGAGAGGUCAGAGGUACUCAAGGGGUAGGGGCUAAAUCCUGUGAUCCUUUGGGGACCACCAGUGGCGAAGGCGUCUGACUAGAACGGAUCCGACGGUAAGGGACGAAACCCUGGGGCGCGAACCGGAUUAGAUACCCGAGUAGUCC